CUUGGAAUACAUCGAUGCAGAUGGGUGGAUGCUGAAUUGACAAAUUAAGAAACACGACCACACUUGUACACUAUCCACGUCUCAAGGUUUCUUCUAUCCUCUGCAGAUCUAGAAUUGUUAAGGUUGAACUUCUUAAACUGCCAAGAUUCUGGUCUCCUUUCCCAGACUUGCUUAACCUAGCUAGAUCGGUCAGCCUCAAGCUCAAAAAGGGUUCCGAUCAAAAUUUAAUUACAAGGCAAACAUCUCAGAGACAUCCAUCCCUAUGUAAAUAUCUCAUCUACUCAGAAAAGGGACUUAGUUCUUGAGGGCGGUCCAUGUUUGCAAAGACUAUUAUAGAUCUUAAUAUUAUUUUUCUACUAUUUUUUCAAAAGUCCAUGAAUUAUUUUUCAUUAAACAUGGAACAAAAAGGCUCCAUUGCAUGUGUCAUUUCAUUUGUCAACAUGCAUGAAUCCUAGGAAGUUAUCCUUGACAAUCAAUAAACACAACAACGUACUGCUGCAUAACCUUUUAACAUGAUGAUUAAGGCAGCUCGAACCAAGAACAAAUCAAAUUGUGAACAAAUUAAGUUCCUCAGCUAACUAAAUGAAUAAGCUCGUUUUUUUACUACAAGCACAGAUAAGCUGAUGUACUAUCAUUCAUGGAUGCUGUCGUGGGGGAUUUAAAGGUGCUCUGUAGCUUGAAAGUCAUUUUUUAGCUGUUGUUUCAGUUUGUUCUAGUUUUUAUGGCUGUCUUUAUGCAACUUAACCAGACUACAUAUGAUGAAUAUUAAAUGUCCAGCAUGAGGUGAUACCAUGAUUUCUAGUGCUGGUGUUUGUGUGGAUAUACCAUCAGAAAUUUCCAAUGCAAUCCUAAGAGUAGGAUUGAAAUCUGCUUGGUCGGUCUUUUUUUAAAGAACAUGAAAAACAAAAAUAAUUACAUUUGAAUUGAGGCUAAUUAACGAGCCAGCCCUUGUUUAUCAUCCUCAGAUCCCGUUACUGUUUAAAUAACUUGUAAGUUGAAUGGCCAUGAUAGUUAAGUUUGGGUAAACAUGUCAUACACUUAUCACUAAUUUAGAGAUGCUGAAGCAAGCAAGAAGAAUUCCAUGCAUGUGUUUCGAAGAUGCCUAAUGAAUCGAGAGACAAUACUGCAGUAGCAAUUGAUUCACAGGCUCAUCGCUACUUCAAUUGGUUUAGGAGGGAGAGUUCUACAUCGACUAGUGCACUUAUGCAGAACACCUUUGUUUUUUCUUUCUUUGAAAAAGACACAGAAACGUUUGUGAUUAUAGCUUCAGUAAUGAAAUCAAGGAAGAGUUAGGUUUCUUUCGUUUAUUUUUUGGCAUUUCUAGAAUGGCUUCAAUGUUCUUGCUUCACGAAAUGAAAAGGGUUAUCAAAACAUCCUUUCCCUAUACGUCAUAUCAAACACGGCCACAGGUUCUGGACAUAAAACAGACAGUUAACUGAGAUUACUAGCAGUCUAGCACUAUGACAAUUGAAGUUCAAGGCAUCGUUUUCAAUAUGUUGGUACCAACUGCAUGCUUUUUAUUGACAUUUGAACAAUUAGAGAGAUUAAGAAAAUCAAUAAGGCAUGUGCAGUUUCUUGGAUCCAAAUCAAUAAGCUUGUCUCGAUAUUGAAUCGGUGAAGUAACCUUGACCAUAUUAAACUUGCACAACAAAAUUGAAGCUUCAAUCUCUCAAGGUUAAUUUAUAGCCUUUGUAAAAAUCUGGCAUAGAUAGGUGCUCACAAUUGCUAAGGCUUGCAUAUUUUAAAUCGACAAGAUUCUUGUUUCCUGUCUAAAUGAUAGCGUCUUGUAGUUAUCAUAAAGAACCAAAAACAAUUAUUCAUCCCAAUGCAGUAUCUCAUCUCCUAUGAAAGGAACUUGACGCCAGCCAUGAGGAAGGUGCACUUUUCAGUUAUUUUUAACACCAGAAUUAUAAAUCCUGAGCAAUCUAAGUUUGGAUUUCGUCGCAAAGAUUCUGGAAUUUAAUUUACUCUCAAAAAUAUUUUUUGAAAUGUCCAUCAACAUCCCUUCAAUGUCAACGUUUAUCUAGUAAGUUGCAGGAUUUCUUUCAUUCUCGCCAAACUCUUUUCCCCUAGGAUAGUUGGCAAUCACGGUUCCAGGUAAUUGAAUGUCUUCUCACAUGUUAACUAGCAAGGAAAAAAAAAACCCCUAGCUAUGUGGCUCAACCGUGAUGUUCGAGUAUGGAAUGAUCAAGGUCAAAUUAAGUAUUCCUAAAUGCUUAGCUGAUUCAAAAAUAUAAGCUAUCGAUGUAAUAAAUUUCAAAGAAAAAAAGAAGUUAGUACCCGUCUUCUAAGACCAUUCCUUCCAUGUAUGCAACUUCUUUAAGAGCCUUCCUCCACCCCUCCACCUUCUCCAUCUGGUCCUUGAAACGUAUCUCAUGCUUGGCAAGCUCUUCACCAUACCUCCCUGUUUGGGUCCCCACCUCAGAUGGAUCGACAUCGUAGAAAACUGGAAACACUAUGUGCCCAACAGUUCUUCUACGUUCCAUGAUCAUCGCUAGCUCGUCAAGACACCAUCUCGAAGAAGCGUAGUCUUUAGAAAACACAAUAAUGGAUAGUUUUGUUUCGUUAAUUGCUUUCUUGAUUUCUAAAUCAAUUUUCUCUCCUCUCCGGAUCCCAUCGUCGUCUCUGAAAGUGCGAAUCUCUGCUCUACAUAGAGCUGUGUAGAGAUGGUCCGUAAAACUUCGACGGGUGUUUUCGCCUCGGAAACUCAAGAACACGUCGUAAGUACUGGGCAUCAACGAGAGAAGAAUCAAGAUUUGGGUCACUGGGUUGAAAGCCAUCGGUUUGACAAAGAGAAGUAUGUCGAAAGAAACAAAGUUUUUUGUGUUGGAAGAGAUGCAGAUCUCACUUGAUUCUUUGUUUGAAGAAAGAAGAGAGGCAAAAGGUUUUUUUUUUUUUUUUUAAUCUGUUUAGGAAGUUUCUUCGUUCAUGUGCUUUUUUUGUAUGGCUGCGGUCUGUCGAUAUGUAAAACGUGGACCUCUAAAGUUUAAAGAAGUGAUCUAACUAUGAUUAAACUAUACUAAAAUAUAUCAUGUAAAACUAUACUAAAAAGUUACUUUUUUUGGUCCCUAUUAUUCUUUUAUAUGCAUGAUCAGUCCUAGGGAUUGCUCCUUGACAAUCGAUAAACACAACAAGAAAGUGCUGCACAACCUUUGGAACCAAGAACCAAUCAAAUCUGGUCUUGAAAGGUGCUCACAAUUACUAAGACUGAACUAUUUUAAAUCGAUAAGAUUCGUGUUUCCUUUCUAGAUGAUAGCUAGGUUAAAUUAUCCAGAAAAAAAAUGGAAGGCAAAGAUCUGAAAAGGUAAAACAAUUAUUCAAUUACUCAUAUACCUGUCUUGCUGCAGCACCAUUCCUGCCAGGUCUGCGGCUUCUUUAAGAGCGUCCCUCCAACUUUUCACUCUAGCCAUUUCCUUAUGGAAGCUUUUUUCGUGUUUAGCAAAUGCUUCUUCAAACAACCCUUUCUGUUCACUGACCUCCGACGGAUCAACGUUGUAAAAAACGGGAAGCACAAGGAGCCUAGUUUUAUCCCUGGCAUCCAUGAUGUGCACAAGCUGCUCCAGGCACUUUGUUGAAGAAGCAUAGCCUUUAGAGAACACAACAACCGAUAUCCUGGAUUCCUGUAUCGCUUUCUUGAUAUCAGACUUUUGUCCUGCGUAGAUUCCACCAUCAUCUCUAAGAGUGCGAAUCCCAGCAGAAUUGAGGUCUUUGUAGAGAUGAUCGCCAAAAUUCUUGCCAAUGUCGUGGUGGCUAAAACUCAAGAAAACAUCGUUAUCCUUUCUGGAGAGGAGAAGCAUCAACAGAUUGAUGAGUGAGAACAAACCCAUUGGAUGGUUGGUGAAGAAAAAAUGCCGAAAUUAAACUGGAGUAUGAGAAAGAUGGAAGUUUCCGAUGGGAAUGGGUGAAACGGCAACGACGGGAGGAUUUUCAGGGCACCCGGAAGGGAAUAAAGAAAACAACUGUUCAGGUUCCCAAAUUUGACCCGUUUGGUUCACUAAUAAUGACUAGCCAUCAAUAUUGACCAAAGUGCUUUUUUUUUUUUUUUAUGUGUCUCCUGUUUGAAUUUUGAUGAGCGCUAAUGGUGUACAUCUGAACGUGCUUUGUUUUGUUUUAAAAAAGAAUCAUUCUUCAAUGGUUUUGUUUGUUUUUUUUGUUUUUUUGAAUUCAAUUCUCUAAUUAGGAAUUAAUUUUGUAAUUUAAUUUAAUUUAAUUUUUAUGAAGUUAUUUCUAAUCAUGGAUUUUCUAGAGUUUUAAGUGAUUAAAUGGUGUUUUUGUUUGAAAAUAGACUUUAUGAGGUUUUAUGAUUAUUUUAAAAAAAGUUUUGCAGGUGAAAAUGAAAAUUGAGUUUUAAAAUCCCAUUGGAGUGGUCGGUGAGUAAGAAAUGCCGAAACUAGAAGGAUGGAAUUUCCCUAUGCGAAUGGGGAGACACGGAAACGAUGGGAAGACUUUUCAGGUGUGAUCCGCCACCUGCUGGUAAUUGAAAGUGGAAGCAAGAGAGCGAGGUGAGGUCUGGAACCCUACUGCGAGAGGGAAGCCUCGUGGGCCAAAUUAGUGCGCACGUGGCCCAGAUUUGAUAUGUUUGGUCCUUUUCUGUCGACCCAAUUAAUAUUGAUCGAGACUUGGGUUUCUUUUGAAGAAACAGGGCCUGAUAGUUCAUCAAGCGGAAAAUCAAAACCUGGAGCAACAAUUACUUUUUAUAUUUAUUGACACUUUAGAUUUCAAUGGUGAUUAAAAAAAACAAAAGUGGUUAUUGAAUUUAUUUUUUAUUGGUAUAGUUAAACCUCUGUUUUUUUUUUAGCAUCAAUUAAAAUCCAAUUGCAUAUUUUAUUUUAUUUUUGAAGAGAGUGUUGAAUUGAGAAACAGGGUAUAAAAGUAAAAAAAACAUAUAAAAUAGGUAACAAUUUUGAAUUUUUUUAAAAAAAUUCAUUUUAAUCCCUCUUUUUUUUUAUCUAAUAGGUAAUCACUCCCUCAAAAUUUUAAAAAUUCAAUCUUGGCUUAAAACUUUAUUUUUCUCUUUCGGUCAUUUUUUUAUGGAGAGGGGGGAUUAUGAGAUUCCAAUAUGCAAAGAAAAUUGUGAUUGAAGAUGAUUUUGAGUACCAAAAUAAUUGAUUUUGAUGUUAAAUGAUUCUAUAUAAUAACAAAAAGUUCAAAUUAAGUGUUUUUUUUACCGGGAAAGCAUCUAAAAAAUCCUAUAUAAGCUUAGAAAUAUUUUAUUUUUAUUUCAAGUUGAUUAUGGGUUUUUGAGUAACUUUUUUGUGUUUUUUUUAGGCUAUAAAUUUAUUUAACAAGAUUUCUAAAAGGUUUCUAGGAUGUUUAUAAUUGUUUUGUAUCAAAAAUAGAAUGAAAAUGGGUUUUGGGUUCAGAAAAAUAGAACGUCUUCCGUAACCCUCUCCAUCUCAACCUGGAAGCCUUUCUCGUGUGAAGAAAACGCUUCAUGAUAUCUCCCUUCUUGGUUCCUAACUUCCGAUGGAUCCAAAUGGUAAAAUAUAGGCAGCAAAAUGUGCCCAGUAGCUCUCCUAGUCUGUUUUGAGCUUUUGUUUCAGCUAGUUCUAGUUUUAUGGAUGUAUUUGUGCAACUUCACCGGCUUAUAUACGAUAAAUUAUUUGGCGAUACCAUGAUUUCUAGCACUGGUGUUUGUGAUGGAUAUACCAUCAGAAUGUUUAAGUAAUCCUAAUGGUAGGAUUGAAAUUAUUUGGUUGGUCUUUUCAAAAGAGCAUGAAAAUUAAAAAUAAUUACAUUUGACUUGAGGCUAAUCUGACAAACCAGGCCUUCUAUAUCUACCUCAGCUCCUAGUUUCAGUUGCUGUUUAAAUAACUUUUAAGUUAGAUGAUGGUGCUGUUAAGUUAUGGAUAAACAUGUCACACAAUUAUCAAUAAUUUAGAGAAUAUGAAGCAAGCAAGAAGAAUUCUAUGGAUGUGUUUGGAAGAUGCCUAAUGAAUGGAGAGACAAUACUACCUUGCUCAUCCCUACUUCAAUUGGAUUAGGAAAGAGUUCUACAAUGACGAGUGCACUUAUGUAGACCACUUUAUCUUUUCUUUUUUUUUUUUUAAAGAGACACAACGCUGUUUGUGAUUAUAGUUUCAAUAAUGAAAUCAAGACAGAGUUAGGUUUUAGUAAUGAGAUUACUAGCAGUCUCGCACCAUGAUUAUUGAAGUUAAGGCUUGUAAGCAAAUUGGAAAGAAAACAAAAAUGCAGUUUCUUAUAAAUGUUUUAUAAAAUAUUCUGAGAGAUUUAUUUCAUCUGUGUAUUUUUAGCGGGAUUUUUUUUUUGUAUGCAUUUUUCACCUGUAAAAUCAUUAAUUUUUAAUUUAUUUUUUUUUAUUGACAAAAUUAGCGACAGAACAUUAUACCAAUGGACAUAUUUUAUCGGUGAAUUAGUAGGUAAAAUUUUCACCGAUAAAAUGAUAAUCUUGCACCGAUAAAAAUAUUUUAUCUAUAAAACUGUUAAAUGUUGCGGUGUUUCAUGGUUUUCUAUCAUCAUGAGAUCUCUUUUCUUUGUGAAAGCCAAUAGCUUCAGGUAUAAGAAGUGCAGCAGUCUAGGAUUCCUUCACCCCAUAUUGCUUCAUUUCCAUCUUCCUAGAAUAAAUUCCAGCCCCAAAACUAAUCUAAAGCUUCAUCGCACGCAUCCUAAUUUCUUAAACAUGAAACAUAUAACUGGUAAUUGCCACAAUAAUAAGCCAAGUUGAGAUUUCAAUCUAAUGUGAAAGUCUUCCAGUAACAACCGCAAAAGCAUGGAAAGCAGUAAGGAUGCACAGAUGUCCUUAUAGAAUAAAUUUAUUGUUUCAUAAUGUCUAACAGAAAAGAGGCAACAAAAAGGCUGGGAUAGCUCAGUUGGGAGAGCGUCAGACUGAAGAUCUGAAGGUCGCGUGUUCGAUCCACGCUCACCGCAUUUCUCUCUUUUUCGAUUUAGUUUCUUAAUAACGUCUUUUCCCGCCAAUUUCAGUUAGCGAAUCUCUCCUGUUUCCAGCUCCUAAACCCGAGCAGUGACAAUUCCAUCAAGAACAGAAACAAUCCAGUCACCUGAGAAACAUUGCCACCGCGGGCAGCUUGAAGGUUCACCAAUAUUCCGCUUCAAAUCAAGCACAUGAUCAAACUUUUUCUUACCAAGUUUCGGAGAAUCUGGAGAAACAAAAGACAGAUGGAUUAUGCACCGAGGAGUGGCGGGACAAAGAUUUUGAGGGUGGUAAAGUGUAUUUGGCAUGUUGCCCCCAAGUUUCGGAGAGCCAGAGCAGUGCUGCUGUUCCUGCUCUUGAAUUUUGCCUAGGCUUUUGCCAAUUUUGCUUAGUGUUCAUAAUCUGCGUUGUUGAAACUGAAGAUUUCUUCUUCUUCUUCUUCUUCUUUUGAAGUUGAUUCUAAGCUUUGAUCCGGACUUUGCGGUUUCAAAUGAGAAGGAAGCAAUCAAUAAUGGACCAUCCCUACUCUUCUUUGUUUGGACUUGACAAGUAGCAAGGGAUGAAGGAGGAGGGACAGCAAGCUGCUUAUGGUCACUUUGGAAGGGAUGACCCUGACUUUACAAGGGAGGUUGUGAAGCCCCUGAAAUACCAGAAGCCCCAAGUGUAAAAUCAUGACAUGCAUGGCCUGUAAUCAAUAAUUUGCUUGUUCUAGCCAGCAGCUCGAAAACCCGAGAGUCUUCCAGUUGUUUUCUUGCCUUUUCUGCUUAUUUAUUUUAUUUUGAAGGUUUUGUAUGUUUUUUCCAUACAGUAUUAGUGUAGUUUUGAGUUUUAGUUAAAAACAAGAAGACGGGUGAAGAGCUGCCUUGUCACCUUGAAACUUCAUGAGAUUGCAAGUAGAGAACACGGAUGUAACACUGUAAAAGGACGAACUGCAGAAAAAAUGAAUUUCAUAGUGGAAGAAGAUGAUUGUUCAACUUGCACACUUCACCAUGUUUUGUCUGCCUUGUUCUCUUCUCACAUAGAUUUUCUUCAAAAACUAAUGCAAUGUUCAGGUACAACGAGAUGACCUUGCUUGAACUAUCAUCAUCUUUCUACUCAGCUGCUAAACUCUCUUGUCCGAAGCAUAGAACCAAAAAAGUACUCUCUGAAUUCAAAUGAUGAUACAGCAGGAUUUUGAUUGGUUGAUAAUGAGUAAAUGUCUCUUUUCUUAUAAGCCAAAGAAGUUCAUAAUGGCAGAGGAAGCAACCUAUAAACUGAACAGAGAAAGGCACAGAACCAGCAUUGACGAAGCUAUAAAACCUCCAGAAAUCUCAAAGACUUGAUAUGAAUAACUUGGAUCACUUAAGUCACGAAUAUCAAAAAGAGCAAUCCCCACGAGCACUUCAUAACAAUGAAGAAAAUAUCAGUAAAAUGAAAUGAUUGUCUCAAAAGUUUCUACACUCUGAUCAUUAAUUUUCUUGGUUCCGUUUCUUUUCCUCACGCGCACACAUCAUAUUUCUUGAUGUGAAUACCUUAUCUAUUAUUUUUUAAAAUUGUUUCGUUAAUCUUUGUUUAAUAGUAAUUAAUUUUUAAUGCUAUUUUUUUAAUUUCAUAAAUCUCCAAAGAGAUUAUUGUUAUUUAUUUUUAUUUUUUUCAUUUUUCAUUUUAUAUAAAUAAAUUAUAUUUAUGUGACAUAUUUAUAAAAAUAAAAAAAAGUGUCCUUGGUUGCUAGAAUCAACUUCUAACAUAUAAUAAAUAAAUAAAAAUAGAAAAUACAAAGAGUAUUUGCAUGUGCAUUUAUCUUUUACUUUAUUGAAAAUAUUAGCUUUUCAUUUCAGUAUUUAAUUAGCAUUAACAAUUAUUUUUUGAUUUGUUGGUUCAUAUAUUUUUAAAAUUUGUUUUAUUAAGCGGCAAACAAUAUCUUUUUAUUUUCAUGUUAAAAAAUCAUAAUACCUAAAAUAUAUUUAUAAUAUUGACAUAUUUUUUUACAUUAAUUCAUGUAUUAAAUUGAUUUAUGGCAGCUUCCAAUGCUACUUAACUUGUUACUCCACCUUUAACUUAAACUUCCAUUACCUCUUCUUUUUUUUCAUAUAUAAUGACAGAAAAAUGUGAGAAAAAAAACUGAAAAAUUAAAACGAGAAAAAUAAUAAUUUAAAAAAGCUCUAACAUGGCAAGCACAUACAACCUCCACCAUGUCUCUCUCUCUCUUUCUUUUUCUUUCUUUCUUUCCUAAAACUAACCCAGUUGUUUUUCUGUCGAACCGAAAACAACAAUCAAAAACCACAAUAGCCCAGGAAAACCCCAAAACCCAUUUGAUAUUCAUCAAAGAAUAAUCCAGCUGUGAUUGGAGCAGAUCUGUUGUGAGAUGAAAAAUAGAAUUAUGCUUGUGUUGAUUUUCCUUUACUAGUGGUUGUGAGUUGCAGAGACAAUAUAAUGAUCCAUGCUUGCUUUAUCAUCCUUUAAUUGAAUUCAAGUUACCUGGUGACUGGUGUAGAGAAGCAUUGGUUAAGAUGAGCAAGUAAUUUGAGAUUAUGGGAACGUGUGGCCAGAAAUCAUGCAAGUUUUUAUUUUUCAGUUUUGCUGAUUUUCGAACAGCAUAAACCAAAUCAAAAUCGAGUCAAAACAAAUUAAUUUAAACCGGUUUCUGUAAAUUAAUACGGUUCUUUUUUUUUAAGUUAAAAUGUGUACGCCGACUUCCUUCAUUGCCUUCAAUCUAUUGUCAUAAAACCUGUUGAAACUUGAAGAAUCUUAUUUGUUUCUCAGAUCAUCGGAUUUGAUCUAAUGAGAAGAAGAUUCUUGAAACAAUUUUGAUUAUUUUCAAUACCGAAAUCACUGCAACUUUUCCAGCUCACCUGUUGAAUCGGAACGAAGAAGACGAGCACGACUGUUUCACCCAGCAACGGUGUUGUUUUGGCAUAAAUGAAUAUUUUCAUUUUGGUCCCUGGACUUUUGCAAUUUCACAUUUGGAUCUCAAAUAAUCAAAUAUUUCUUUUAAGUUUGCCCUCAGAUUAAUUUCAAUUGAAUCCUUAAGUUAUAGCGCUAUUUACACAACAAUCCUGGAUUUUUAUAUUAUUCAAUUUGGUCCUUAAACUUUAAUUUCCUGCAAUCCUGCCUUAAUCAGCUUCAAACUUUGUUAUUUCUUCAAUUAAGUUCCUGAUUUUUUUAAUUAAUUAAAUAAAAAUUUAAUUAAUUUUGCAAACUUAUUAAUUCUUUAAUUAAACUCAUGAUUUCAUUAAUUAAACUAAUCCAAAUUUUAAUUAAAUUCUCAAACUUAUUAAUUCUUCAAUUUUUAAUCAAUUGACUCUCAAAUUUGAUAAUUUUAUUCCUGAAUUUCGAGUUUGUGUUGUUUUAAUUUCAUUCUCAAAUAUAUUUUAUGACAGUUGAUAAUAAACUAAAUGUUCCCAAAAUCAAUCAUGUCUGAGAGCAAGUAAUUUACAGUGUCAAAAUUUGAUAUGCAAUCUCUUAAUGUUGAUACUUGUUCUUCUCUCACUAUGUACCAUGUUAUGUUUUGCACAAAUCAAUGUGCAGAGACGAUGAGAAACCAUAAAGCAACAUUUUAUCAUACUUUUUUUAUCUUUUUUUUUUAUCAUACUUGUUCAAAAGGAUAGAAGGGAUAGAGUUCAUAAUUUCUAACAGGAAAAGUGCAUCAAUGGCAUUUUACUGUUGUGUUCAUACUUCAUAUACAGCGAAACCCCAUUUUGUUUUAGUAUAUGAACAGUGAAACCCAUUUUGUUUCUUGCAUUUUCUUCAUUGAAUUUCUUAAUCUCAAUUUCACCCUCUUAAAUUAUAUUAGCAUGGUUUUGUAUGUUAAUAUUUCUUUCAAUUUGUAUUUUUUUUACACAUUAAAAAGUGUCUAGAGGUAUUUCGAGGAUGUUUUGGAUAUGAAUUAAAUACCAAUCUUGCAAAAUAAAUCUUUAUUUAUAGUUAAAUAUAGAAAUUAAAAGAAGAAGGAUAAAAUUUCACAAAAACAAAUCCCAUUUAGAUAUUGGCAUAGAAAGUUAUAUUUGCUCUAUAGUUUUUAAUUAAUCUAUUGUUUGAUCCCUGUUAUUUUAGCAUUUCAAAUUUUUAUCUCAAACUUAAUUUGUUUUCUGUUUUAGUGUUUGAACGUUGAAAGAAGAUAGAUAAAAUCACUAAAAGAUAUUAAACAUGGACAUUCAUGUCACCAAAAAAGGUUAUCAUGGUGUCCAUUUGUUUUUUGUUUUUUUAGAAAAAUUUCAUGAGGGUGGUGCUUUCCUCUAAUCAUGCUAAAAAAAGUAGAUUGAGAUUGUUGAUGUUUUUUUUAUUUGUUUAAUUUUUAUUUUUUUUAGAGAGAUUAAAAGUUGGUUUUCAAUGGUUUUUAGAAUAUUUUUCAAGUGAAAAGGGGGUUAAGAAAUAGAUUUUUGGAUCCAGUCUAAACUUUAAUUUUUCAACAACUAGAAGUAAGUAGAGACUGGUAUAAAAGAUGAAAUGUCAUCUAUCUUAAUAAACAAAUUAUCAUUCGUUUACAAGAAAAUAAUUGGCGUAGAUGAUAUUGUUUAAAACUAAAAAAAAAAAAGUUUUUGAAUCUAGGCUAUAAGGUCCUAGCAAAGUAUGCGGCUUGACCUUUGUUUUUAAUUUUAAUUAAUGUUUGUAUUUAAAUUUUAAUAACUAUCUUAUUUUUUAUUUUUUAAAAUUUUUGGUUAACCUUUUUUAAUAUUAAUUAAUUUUUUUAAUAUAUUUUUUAAAAAUUUAUUAUGCUUCAAAGAGAUUAUUCUAAUUUUUAUUUAAUUUUUUUCAAUUUUCAUUUUAUAUUUUAAUAUAUUUAUAAAUAUUGACACCUUUUCUUACAUCAAAAUGUAACUUAGACUCCUUCUAAGACUAAUUAUAUUAGCUUAAUUUUAGAAACUUGUGUGAUGACUUUUCCAUACAUUAAUUAAUCUUUGAUUGCACAUCUUAGGUUAUGAAUUUUUUUAUAUUGUGGUUUGCGCGGUAUUUAUAAAAUCAAUGGUAAGUUUGUUGAUUAAAAAAAUUUGUUUUUUCAGUUCUAAGAUUCAUAUCUUAGAAAAAAUUUAUUCUUUCGUAUUGUUAUUCUCAAGUGUUAAAAAAUAAUUUAAAAAUUUACACAGAAUAUAGUUGAGAAGAACCCUAAGCAUGCACUUGUAGCAGUCACAUGUCAAAAGAUCAGUUAGACUUGAUUAUGCAUCUGAUCAUUUUGAGCUGAAAAUUCUUCAAUAAGUUAACAGUCAUAAGGAUCUAUCCAAAGAUACAAAUUGUCAAGAGAGAGAGAGAGAGAGGCAUUCAUAUCUUAGAUUCAAUGGUAAGUUUGUUGAUUAAAAAAAUUUGUUUUUUCAGUUCUAAGAUUCAUAUCUUAGAAAAAUUUUAUUCUUUCGUAUUGUUAUUCUCAAAUGUUAAAAAAUAAUUUAAAAAUUUACACAGAAUAUAGUUGAGAAGAACCCUAAGCAUGCACUUGUAGCAGUCAUAUGUCAAAAGAUCAGUUAGACUUGAAUAUGCAUCAUCUCAUUUUGAGCUGAAAAUUCUUGAAAAAGUUAACAGUCAUAAGGAUCGAUCCAAAGAUACAAAUUGUCAAAAAAGAGAGAGAAGCAUUCAUUGAAGUACAUUCCUUUAAUUAAUUCAUCCAUCCAUGCUUUGACAAAGUCGGUGGGCUGUGGGACCAUUCUUUUCAGCCUUUUGUUCUCAUCACCCGACACAUAUCCACGUGCUUAGUUCCUAUUGAUUCACACUUCUGCUUUACCCCUACAUCCUCCCCUCUCUCUUUUUAUUUUUUUUGACUUCUCACUUCAGGUCUCCGCCGGAGACCUGAAGUGAGAAGUCAAAAAAAAUAAAAAGAGAGAGGGGGUCUGAAAGAAAGACCUCCUCCACUCUCGUAAAAGACCAAAAAAAUAUGAUGGUGGGCGGAGGGCUGACGACAGUGGAAGUGCAGACGGACGGACGUGAGGCAGUGAGAGGUUGAGUUUAUCUGCGAUCUCUUUAACAAUCGACUCUAUGAACUUUGACUCAUACCUGCAAAACACAUUCAUACAAAUUAAAUCACGGAUUAAUUUGCUAAUUCCUCAUCAGAUCAACAUAGAAGAAGAAGACGAAGAAGAAGAGACAUAUACAGCAAAAAAAAUCAGCUUGGAAUACAUCGAUGCAGAUGGGUGGAUGCUGAAUUGACAAAUUAAGAAACACGACCACACUUGUACAAUAUCCUCUGCGGAUCUAGAAUUGUUCAGGUUGAACUUCUUAAACUGCAAAGAUUCUGGUCUUCUUCCCAGACUUGCUUGACCUCGCUAGAUCGGUCAGCUUCAAGCUCAAAAAGGGUUCCGAUCAAAAUUUAAUUACAAGGCAAACAUCUCAGAG
RNAcentral lists this long non-coding RNA (13189 nucleotides) under Populus tremula. RNAcentral's name for it is "long non-coding RNA (PTRE_LNC002448)". The stretch from base 6816 to 6888 matches the Rfam family "tRNA". Lineage: Eukaryota; Viridiplantae; Streptophyta; Magnoliopsida; Malpighiales; Salicaceae. The record is from RNAcentral.